This 274-nucleotide long non-coding RNA is filed under the name Capsicum annuum. Its description in RNAcentral is "long non-coding RNA (CANN_LNC021587)". Lineage: Eukaryota; Viridiplantae; Streptophyta; Magnoliopsida; Solanales; Solanaceae. The record is from RNAcentral.
UGUGGUCGUUUCUUGCACUGCUUUGGAUUGGGUUAUCGGCUUGGGAAUCUGUUUUUGGGGCUGUGGGUGUUGAGUCCAGUGGUGUUUGCUCUCUAAUUGAGUUUAGUUUUGUUUCUGGCUUAUUCCUUUGAAUUUGUGUGAGCCUUGUAUUUCUUGCUGCUGCUUUGCUACUACCAUCGUUUAUAUCUUUAUAUUUUCUUAUACUUUCGUGUAGUUGUGGCUAUGGGCGGUAAUGGUUGGAUAGGGUCAUGUCCGAGGGGGUUGGGGCGUGGGG